Cydia pomonella (codling moth) is the source of this 1927-nucleotide long non-coding RNA. RefSeq lists it as uncharacterized. The transcript is spliced from 2 exons. The record is from RefSeq and is a predicted model, not a curated record. NCBI's taxonomy places the organism in Eukaryota, Metazoa, Arthropoda, Insecta, Lepidoptera, Tortricidae.
UGAGGGAGUGACAUGAUAAACGUCAUAUUUUCAUAGAAAUUGUAUAGAUAUUGAUGAUGCCACAAUUGUCAUUGCAAAUACCACGCAGAGUUAGAUUGAUCCGACUCUAAUUUCUGAAACUAGACAUUUUUUCAUGUACGUAACUUGUUCUUAAACUGGGUAGGUACCUAAAUAUAAUAACGCGAGUAUUCUAGCAGUGGCUUGAAGCAAGUUUCCCACGGAUUUGACUGGUAGAGACCGCCUAAAUCCCUGGAUAUCGCGCACACACCACUAUCGCGGGCGGGAUAAGCUCGGGCUUAACGCCUUUACAAUAUGCUCGCUUAGCUCCAUUAUAGAUAUUCAUGUCUAUCGGAGUUACCACUGCAACUUUUUUACUCAAAUGGUCCUGAGGCGAUUGGUCCCUCUUAAACGUCGCCGUCGUUGCUAUCGGACAUAGGUAUAAGUACAUCGCUUAUUAAGUGAAAACAAUUUUUAGUAUGAAAUUUGCAGUUGGUACGAUGACGCGCAGAUUUGUCCAAUUUAACCUUUAAUAACAUGACAAUACGAGUCAAGGCCCGCAUCGUCGUGAAUGACACAAUCUAUAUGACAUACUCGUAAGUCUCGUAACGCACACACACAGGUACCUGUAUGGCUACCAUGAGAUCGGAAUACGUUACUCGAUAUCGAGAACGUUACGGAAAAUGUAUGGAGAAAGUGUCCAGAGCUCCAAGUGGUUCCAUAUGGUACUAAAAAUUUGUAACUGGUACCAUGAGUCACUAACGUUUUAACUUUAUUGUUCGUCUAGUUUUCGAUACGUGCCUAACUUCACACCUAAAGCGCUCUCUUUCUAACUAUAUAAAGAAAACUGAGCCAGAAUUAUUCUAGUGUCAAUAGUAAAAUCUCAUUACUAUGGAGGGUAGAAGUAAGGAGAACAAUCUAUGUGUAUGAAAAGUGUCCAUCAAAAUUCCUUAAAUAAUUUUUGACUUUGAUGAAAAUUCUCAAAUCACUGACAGCGCACUUCACUCCGUCAAUAACACUAGUAUUGUAAGUCUGUAUAUAACUAACAAUCUAUGGGUAAAUUGGCCUGAAAUAAAGAAAUAAAUUAAAUUAAAUAACGACUAAGUUCAUGUCAUGUCUUUGAGCUACCUUAGCGCCACCGGAGAGAUUGCGUACUAUUAUUUACAGCUGCCAGCUGAACACUUUAGCAACAGUUUUCCCAUAAGAAAUUGUUCUCCUUACCUCUACCCUACAUACUCAUCGUCAUGGCAUCGAAAAAUACCGUAGGUAUAAUUUCGACGUGACAUUUCUGUCAACUUGUAAACAAAACAAAUUCACAGAAUUUUCACGAUUAUCCUAGCAAAUUCUCAGCGUAAUAUUUAUUAAUCUAUAACAGUACGUAAAGUUCAAGCAAAUAUUUUAGGGAGAAAUCAAUCAGUAGCUCGAAAAAGGCUGAUUUGAUACAAAGUAUGAUUGAAAACAAAAUAUCCAUGCAUACCCGGAUGGCAUCCAGCGCAUAUAGAAGAUCGUUCAUAUGCAUGUGGAGGUUAAUUAAGAAUUAAGGCUCAAUACAAAAAACAGUACAUGUAUACAUGCAUACAUAUAUAUAAUCACGCCUAUUUCCCGGAGGUGUGGGCAGAGACCACGGAUUUACACUUGCUACGAUCCUGGCGUACCUCUUUCGCUUCCUUCACUUUUAUAACUUUCCUCAUACGCCGGUGCGCAGUAUAGGGUGCUCUUGCUUGACAUGGCCCUUCUUCGGGAUUUUCACGAUUUGAUCUAAUCAGGGAAUAUCCGCCGAGGUACCUAUUCCAGCGGGAGAAGAGGGUUUCUGUUCUAUUUCUGUACUACUCAAACAAUGUGAUCUAUUUCAGUUGAUGGAUUUUUUAUGUAUAUCUUUAAUAAUUAACAAAAAAUAAAAUCGACAUCAAAUAUUACCAAAAGCGCCAUA